GACGUAGGGCGCGAGCGUUGUCCGGAUUUAUUGGGCGUAAAGAGCUCGUAGGCGGCUUGUCGCGUCGUUCGUGAAAACCUGCAGCUCAACUGCAGGCUUGCGGUCGAUACGGGCAGGCUAGAGUUCGGUAGGGGAGACUGGAAUUCCCGGUGUAGUGGUGAAAUGCGUAGAGAUCGGGAGGAACACCCGCGGCGAAGGCGGCCACCUGGACCAGACCUGACGCUGAGGCGCGAAGGCCGGGGGAGCGAACGGG
Molecule: ribosomal RNA, 253 nt
Filed under: uncultured bacterium
Lineage: Bacteria
Description: partial 16S ribosomal RNA
Rfam family: Bacterial small subunit ribosomal RNA
Source: RNAcentral